RNAcentral lists this transfer RNA (92 nucleotides) under Syntrophaceticus schinkii. It matches the Rfam family "tRNA". From Rfam's summary of the family: Transfer RNA (tRNA) molecules are approximately 80 nucleotides in length. Lineage: Bacteria; Bacillati; Bacillota; Clostridia; Thermoanaerobacterales; Thermoanaerobacterales Family III. Incertae Sedis. The record is from Rfam by way of RNAcentral.
GGAGAGAUGGCCGAGUUGGCUGAAGGCGAUCGCCUGCUAAGCGAUUAAGCGGGGAAAAACCUGCUUCGUGGGUUCGAAUCCCACUCUCUCCG